Molecule: ribosomal RNA, 458 nt
Filed under: uncultured marine bacterium 311
Lineage: Bacteria
Description: bacterial SSU rRNA
Rfam family: Bacterial small subunit ribosomal RNA
Source: RNAcentral
GAGAGUUGGUUAGUCAGUACGAGCGCAACCCUAUCCUUAUUUGCCAGCGCAUAAUGGCGGGAACUAUAAGGAGACUGCCGGACAUAAUCCGGAGGAAGGCGGGGACGAGGUCAAGUCAUCAUGGCCCUUAUGGGUAGGGCUACACACGUGAUACAAUGGGUGGUACAGAGGGUCGCCAAAGCGCGAGCUGGAGCCAAACCCUUAAAACCAUUCUUAGUCCGGAUUGGAGUCUGCAACUCGACUCCACGAAGUUGGAAUCGCUAGUAAUCGCGAAUCAGAAUGUCGCGGUGAAUACGUUCUCGGGCCUUGUACACACCGCCCGUCACGUCAUGGAAGUGGGUUGCACCAGAAGUGGCUUGUUUAACCUUCGGGAAAACGGUCACCACGGUGUGAUUCACAACUGGGACGAAGUCGUAACAAGGUAGCCCUAGGGGAACCUGGGGCUGGAUCACCUCCUU